Molecule: ribosomal RNA, 253 nt
Filed under: uncultured prokaryote
Description: partial 16S ribosomal RNA
Rfam family: Bacterial small subunit ribosomal RNA
Source: RNAcentral
UACGUAGGUGGCAAGCGUUGUCCGGAAUUAUUGGGCGUAAAGCGCGCGCAGGCGGUCCCUUAAGUCUGAUGUGAAAGCCCCCGGCUUAACCGGGGAGGGUCAUUGGAAACUGGGGGACUUGAGUGCAGAAGAGAAGAGCGGAAUUCCAUGUGUAGCGGUGAAAUGCGCAGAGAUAUGGAGGAACACCAGUGGCGAAGGCGGCUCUUUGGUCUGUAACUGACGCUGAGGCGCGAAAGCGUGGGGAGCAAACUGG